Long non-coding RNA from Quercus robur (English oak), 3149 nucleotides. RefSeq lists it as uncharacterized. NCBI's taxonomy places the organism in Eukaryota, Viridiplantae, Streptophyta, Magnoliopsida, Fagales, Fagaceae. The record is from RefSeq and is a predicted model, not a curated record. The transcript has 4 exons.
UAUUUCGUUGACCUUUUACAUCAAUCGGCUUUAUUUAUCUAUUUAUAUUUUUUAGUAUUGUUUUUGAUUUUGGGAUUUUUGAAUUUUAAUAGCAUGUUUGGAUGAAAGAGAAAGAAGCGGAGGAAGAGAACAAAAUAAUGUAGUCUAAAAAUAAGUUAAUCCUGUACUAAAUCUACUCUGUACCCUUCAUCCAAACGGACAAGGUUUUAAUGGAGGAAUUGUGUCUUUGUUUACAUAUUUAAUAUUUGCAAUUCAGAAUCGAAGAUGAGCAUGGCCAUGGCGAUACGAUGGUCUCCCCUUCCUUACAGAACACCCAACCGCCUCCAAAAUUCUUUUCUCCUAACCCUACCAGGUAUUAUUGUAAGAGAAACAAAAAAUAUAGUGUUGCAUGUUUCCGUUGACUCUUGAGGGAGAGAGAAACAGAAAAAAAGCCUUUUUUUUUUUAGGGGUUCAGAUUUUAAAUUUUCAUCCAAACAUGGCUUCAGGAUCUCUGUGUUCCACCGAGGCUCUGCUUCUGUUGUGAAGGAUCUUAAGGAUCUUGACUCUCAUGAGUGGAUUAACGUUGAGGGGAAUUCUGAUACUGUUGGCAUAACCAACCGUGCUCAGGAUUAUUUAGGUGAUGUUGUCUGUUGAAUUACUAGAAAUGGGGGCUCCUGUAUCACAGGGCAGCAGCUUUGGUGUGGUUGAAAGUGUCAAUACUACUAGUGAUAUUUAUUGUCCCAUUUUUUGGAAAGUGGUUGAAGUAAACUAAGAGCUCGAUGACUCCCUGGGUCUGGGUUUUAUUGGAGGAAUUGCGAUUGCCAUCAUUAGGAGUGAAUCUUAGCAAGCCUCUGUACGUUUGUGUCUCUGUGUACAAGGGCAUUUCCUCUUAUAUCAUCUAUUCCAUCAAAUUGAGUAAUGUACUACCAUCCUGCAAUGCACCAACAUCAACAUUAACCCAAUGCCAUAUCAAUUAGAAAAGCUGAGAUUUGGAUUUGGAUCUCUCAUAUAUGCAUUAAUUAGUUAAAAUGGUUGAUCUAUGAUUCUUUGAUCAGAAUGUUUCGUUUUUGGAAAUUGGGUUGGUUUGUUUUUGUCAUUGGUAUCAUAUAUACCAUGUUUUUUUUUUUUAAUUACUGCUGAGGUCAAUGGGUUCUUGAAUUUGGGCAUUCAUAAAUCAACAUACUCUGUGUAUGUGAAAGCUAUACUAUACUGCUGUCAGUUUCUUGUUGUGCUGGAAUUGUGAUUAAUCUUAGGUCGAUUAUUCCUAUAAUUUUUUUUUUCUUUUUAAUGAAAAAUGAAACCUAAGCCAUUGUCUGUCACAUAUAAUUUGUUGAAAAUUCAAACCCAAGUGUGAUUGUUUGGAGGUAGUUGCUGUCAGUAUGGACAAUGAUCUUUUGCUAUAGUGGUGGAAAGUGUGGUGUGUAUUUUUUUAAUUAAAUCAUAUGAAAUAUAGGCUGUGUGAUAUCUCAAAUGUAAUAUGAUUGUUGAACACACCAAUACCAUGAUUAUUAUUUGACUUAUUGAACACACUUCUUUGAGAUUUAAAUUUGUCAUGGGACUACUUAUCCAAAAAAAAAAAAAAGGUCAUGGGACUAAGAUACUAGUGGCUCAUUUUUUAAGAGAAUUUCUAAGAACAAAGAAGGAAUUGUAUAGAUGUAAAAGGGUUUUAAAUGUUUUUGAAGCUUAACUCGCCAAAUUCUUAAUUUGUCAGUGCAUUGCUCAUCUCUCUCUCUCUUAAUGCUUUUAUUGGAGUUCUGUUUUCUCAUAGGAAGUUAUCUGAUUAAAUUUCUAAUUGAUAUAUCCAUAUGGAAUAAAGAUGGUUCUCCAAUACAAAUGAUAAUCUAGUUCAUUGUCUUGUAGUAUGCAGCAAUAUCUUUUCGUUUCUAGAUAUAGAAUCACUUAAGGGGAAGAAGCUUUACUAUAGUGGAGUGAUGUUGUGUGUGUCGGUGUAGUGGAGAGGCAGUGGAUCACUUGUUGGUUCACUGCAAGGUUGCGUACCAAUUGUGGAGUUUUGCUCUGAGAUCUUUUUGUGUCUCUUGUUUUACCUGAGAGAGUGGUUGACCUUUUGUUUGGGUGGUGCAAUUGGUUGGGGAAGCACUCCUCGGGUAUUAGGAACUUGGUGCCAUUAAGCUUGAUGUGGACAAUCUGGAGGAACGAAACAGGCGUACAUUUGAGGAUUUGGAGAGUAUGGGGGACAAGCUCAUUGCCUCAUUUAUAGACACUUUGUUUGAUUGGUCUCAUGCUUAGGGAUUCACAUCUAGUGACUCCAUUCCAUGUUUUUUGAGUCUCUUUCUUGUUGUACAUAGCUUCUGUUUUUUUGGCAUAAUUAUUUUUGCUACUAUAUGGUUUCUUUUUUUAAAUAAAGUAUUCUUGUCUAUCAAAAAAUUAAUUGUUGAGAUGGGAUCUUUUUUGGUUUAUUAGAAAAUUGAUCUGCUUUCUCCAUGUUACAUGUGGUUGUGAAGGAUCUUAAGUACCUUGACUCUCAUGAGUGGGUGAAAGUUGAGGGAAAUUCUGCUACCGUUGGUAUAACCAACCAUGCUCAGGAUCAUUUAGGUGAUGUUGUCUACAUUGAAUUACCAGAAGUGGGAGCUCCAGUAUCACAGGGCGACAGCUUUGGUGUGGUUGAAAGUGUCAAGGCUACUAAUGAUAUUAAUUCUCCCAUUUAAGGGAAAGUGGUUGAAGUAAACGAAGAGCUCAAUGACUCCCCUGGUCUGCCCAUAUGACAAAGGAUAGAUAAUUAAGGUUGAGGUGAGCGAUAGUGGUGAAUUGAAGAGCUUGAUGGAUGCAGAUAAGUACACCAAGUUCUGUGAAGAAGAUAAUAUUCACUGAGUGACUAUGGCCAUGAAGAACUUUGGGCAAUUUUCAUGUAGGGGUUGUUCAUGGAUAAUCACGAUAAAUUACACAAUCCUUGAAGUGUGUGGUGCACAUAUCUUUCUUUCUAUUUUUAUCCAAACGUGUGCUUUCACGGUUCUUCUUUUGUUACCUAAGAGCUAUAAAUUUAGUGGAUUUCUUAAGCAAAUAAUCAUUCUGGGUUUUUAGUUUCAUCUAUUGGUGCUGUUUAGGCAGGUUUGUGGUUUGAGAACCAUUUUCAUAAUAUUCGUUUGAGUUGAAUAUUUAUUCAACAUAUGGGAUCUCAUUUUCUUGAUGCAUGGAGAACGCUUUCUUAUUCA